ACGGAGGGUGCAAGCGUUGCUCGGAAUCACUGGGCGUAAAGCGUACGCAGGCGGCAAGGUAAGUCGGGUGUGAAAUCCCGGGGCUCAACCCCGGAACUGCAUUCGAAACUGCCCUGCUUGAAUACGGGAGAGGGAAGCGGAAUUCCUGGUGUAGAGGUGAAAUUCGUAGAUAUCAGGAGGAACACCAGUGGCGAAAGCGGCUUCCUGGCCCGAUAUUGACGCUCAUGUACGAAAGCGUGGGGAGCAAACAGG
Molecule: ribosomal RNA, 252 nt
Filed under: uncultured bacterium
Lineage: Bacteria
Description: partial 16S ribosomal RNA
Rfam family: Bacterial small subunit ribosomal RNA
Source: RNAcentral